AUCCUAGUGGCCUAAUUAAUAAGGCGUCGGUCUCCGGAGCCGAAGAUAGCGGGUUCGAGUCCCGCCAGGAUU
RNAcentral lists this transfer RNA (72 nucleotides) under Taenia asiatica. It matches the Rfam family "tRNA". From Rfam's summary of the family: Transfer RNA (tRNA) molecules are approximately 80 nucleotides in length. Their secondary structure includes four short double-helical elements and three loops (D, anti-codon, and T loops). Further hydrogen bonds mediate the characteristic L-shaped molecular structure. tRNAs have two regions of fundamental functional importance: the anti-codon, which is responsible for specific mRNA codon recognition, and the 3' end, to which the tRNAs corresponding amino acid is attached (by aminoacyl-tRNA synthetases). tRNAs cope with the degeneracy of the genetic code in two manners: having more than one tRNA (with a specific anti-codon) for a particular amino acid; and 'wobble' base-pairing, i.e. permitting non-standard base-pairing at the 3rd anti-codon position. Lineage: Eukaryota; Metazoa; Platyhelminthes; Cestoda; Cyclophyllidea; Taeniidae. The record is from Rfam by way of RNAcentral.